RNAcentral lists this ribosomal RNA (424 nucleotides) under uncultured bacterium. RNAcentral describes it as "bacterial SSU rRNA". It matches the Rfam family "Bacterial small subunit ribosomal RNA", at positions 355 to 776 of the family's 1533-position model. The record is from RNAcentral.
UAAGGAAUAUUGGUCAAUGGAGGCAACUCUGAACCAGCCAUGCCGCGUGCAGGAAGACUGCCCUAUGGGUUGUAAACUGCUUUUAUCCGGGAAUAAACCUCUUUACGAGUAAAGAGCUGAAUGUACCGGAAGAAUAAGGAUCGGCUAACUCCGUGCCAGCAGCCGCGGUAAUACGGAGGAUCCAAGCGUUAUCCGGAUUUAUUGGGUUUAAAGGGUGCGUAGGCGGCCUGUUAAGUCAGGGGUGAAAGACGGUAGCUCAACUAUCGCAGUGCCCUUGAUACUGAUGGGCUUGAAUGGACUAGAGGUAGGCGGAAUGAGACAAGUAGCGGUGAAAUGCAUAGAUAUGUCUCAGAACACCGAUUGCGAAGGCAGCUUACUAUGGUCUUAUUGACGCUGAGGCACGAAAGCGUGGGGAUCAAACAGG